AUGAAACCGUAGAUCAAGAGUAGUAAAAAUAAUUGGGUGUAUCCAGAGAGCUGCAGAAGGUGUGAGUGCAGCAGCAUAGAUUAUUUUGAAUGGGCUUGGGAGGGCAGUCUGAACAUUUCGAUUGAGAUUAGUAGGUGCUGACGGAGGCCGCCGUUAUCGGUAAUAUGUAUAGUUGUACAUGUAUGAGAGGGUUUUGCCAAUUUGGGUGGUACCGCAGAAGUUUCAGCUUUUGUCCCAUAA
This 240-nucleotide non-coding RNA is filed under the name Clostridiales bacterium. RNAcentral's name for it is "T-box sequence". It matches the Rfam family "T-box leader". Rfam says of the family: Uncharged tRNA acts as the effector for transcription antitermination of genes in the T-box leader family. T-boxes are found upstream of many aminoacyl-tRNA synthetase genes and some amino acid biosynthetic genes usually in Gram-positive bacteria. The anticodon of a specific tRNA base pairs to a specifier sequence within the T-box motif, and the NCCA acceptor tail of the tRNA base pairs to a conserved bulge in the T-box antiterminator hairpin. Lineage: Bacteria; Bacillati; Bacillota; Clostridia; Eubacteriales. The record is from RNAcentral.